Molecule: long non-coding RNA, 850 nt
Organism: Acipenser ruthenus (sterlet)
Lineage: Eukaryota; Metazoa; Chordata; Actinopteri; Acipenseriformes; Acipenseridae
Exons: 2
Source: RefSeq, a predicted model, not a curated record
GACUUCCUGGAGAAGCAGGUUGAAAUUCCUGCCAUUCAUCAGACAGGCUCUGGAUUGAUGCUGCGUCUUUCGCCCUCAAUGUCACACACAGCACAUCAGUCUCUUGGGGAAUAUGAGGCAAGGUAACCCCCUCAAUGACUGAUGCCACGGAAGAGCAAACAGACACCAGCCAAGGGAAGGCCGGCCAGUGUACACACCCGAGAUGCAAGGUCCUACCCUACCUAAGUUAAGUACCAGUGGCCAGGUCGGAAGAACGAACCAGAGUAGGGAAGUCAGAAAUCGCGAUGUACGUGAUGAGUGACCAGGGACACAGAGGGAGUGUGGAGAUCAAGUGCUGUUUGUUUGUUCUUCCGUUGCAGGAUCCUGCAUUGUGGUGCUGGAGAGGGAGGGGACCGAGCCUGAAGGGAGCUAAAUACAAGCUUUACACCGGGACAAACCAACGGAUUAGGAGGUUCUUUGAUCGGUCACCUUCAACUUUACCUUUCCUUGUCGCUGUUUCUACCGGGAGCGUUUGGCAACUUGGAUUAAAGUACAGGACCUACAAACUGAGUUUUCUAGGCCUUGAGGCCCAGGUGAACACACUGGAACUAUUGUUUCACUAAACAGAUAUUGUGUGGAGUGGAAUAAUUGUAAUACUAAUAGCCCCCUGUAGUCACAAGUAGCCUGUUAAAAUAUUUUAUGGAAGAUUUUAGUGGUUUUACUUAGUGCACAGCUUUAGGUGUUUUUUAGAAUAUAUUUUUUAUGGAAACAACGUGCAAGGUGGUUGAAAGUGGGGUGUUUUCAAAUUGUCUUCUAAAAUAAGUUGUAUUCAAUUGCCUAAAUUUCCUGUAAUAAAGAAAUCAUCAUUUUA